This 592-nucleotide ribosomal RNA is filed under the name uncultured bacterium. RNAcentral describes it as "bacterial SSU rRNA". It matches the Rfam family "Bacterial small subunit ribosomal RNA", at positions 338 to 949 of the family's 1533-position model. The record is from RNAcentral.
CCUACGGGAGGCAGCAGUGGGGAAUUUUCCGCAAUGGGCGAAAGCCUGACGGAGCAAUACCGCGUGAGGGAGGAAGGCUCUUGGGUUGUAAACCUCUUUUUUCAGGGAAGAUAAUGACGGUACCUGAGGAAUAAGCAUCGGCUAACUCCGUGCCAGCAGCCGCGGUAAUACGGAGGAUGCAAGCGUUAUCCGGAAUGAUUGGGCGUAAAGCGUCCGCAGGUGGUUUUAAAAGUCUGUUGUUAAAGCGUGAGGCUUAACCUCAUAAGGGCAAUGGAAACUGUAAGACUAGAGUACGUUCGGGGCAAGGGGAAUUCCCAGUGUAGCGGUGAAAUGCGUAGAGAUUGGGAAGAACACCGGUGGCGAAAGCGCCUUGCUAGGCCGUAACUGACACUGAGGGACGAAAGCUAGGGGAGCGAAUGGGAUUAGAUACCCCAGUAGUCCUAGCCGUAAACGAUGGAUACUAGGCGUUGUCUGUAUCGACCCGGACAGUGCCGUAGCUAACGCGUUAAGUAUCCGCCUGGGGAGUACGCACGCAAGUGUGAAACCUUAAAGAUAGUCGCGNGNGAGNGCGACGACGAACGACGAGGAGGAG